CCUACGGGUGGCAGCAGUGAGGAAUAUUGGUCAAUGGGCGCGAGCCUGAACCAGCCAAGUCGCGUGAGGGAUGACGGUCCUACGGAUUGUAAACCUCUUUUGCCGGGGAGCAAGCGUGCGUUCGUGAACGCGCGUCGAGAGUACCCGGAGAAAAAGCAUCGGCUAACUCCGUGCCAGCAGCCGCGGUAAUACGGAGGAUGCGAGCGUUAUCCGGAUUUAUUGGGUGUAAAGGGAGCGUAGACGGCCAAGCAAGCCAGGGGUGAAAGCCCGGGGCCCAACCCCGGGACUGCCCUUGGAACUGCAUGGCUGGAGUGCGGGAGGGGCAGGCGGAAUUCCUGGUGUAGCGGUGAAAUGCGUAGAUAUCAGGAGGAACACCGGCGGCGAAGGCGGCCUGCUGGACCGCGACUGACGUUGAGGCUCGAAAGCGUGGGGAGCGAACAGGAUUAGAUACCCUUGUAGUC
This 461-nucleotide ribosomal RNA is filed under the name uncultured bacterium. RNAcentral describes it as "partial 16S ribosomal RNA". It matches the Rfam family "Bacterial small subunit ribosomal RNA", at positions 338 to 795 of the family's 1533-position model. The record is from RNAcentral.